UCCCUGGUGGUCCAAUGGUUAAGACUUUACACUUUCAAUGCAGAGGGCAUGGGUUCAAUACCUGGUCAGGAAA
This 73-nucleotide transfer RNA is filed under the name Bos taurus (domestic cattle). It matches the Rfam family "tRNA". Rfam says of the family: Transfer RNA (tRNA) molecules are approximately 80 nucleotides in length. Their secondary structure includes four short double-helical elements and three loops (D, anti-codon, and T loops). The record is from Rfam by way of RNAcentral. Lineage: Eukaryota; Metazoa; Chordata; Mammalia; Artiodactyla; Bovidae. RNAcentral also lists the same sequence under 1 other name.